GGGCAUAAGCCACUGCAAAUCAAACCUACUGGUUUUCAAGCCCCAGGAACAGCAGGACCCCAUGAAAUCUGCAUACCUUAAAACGGGUGCUGUUUUGAAACUAUUUGCACUGCUUACAGGAGUUGCAUAACUGUGGUAGUGUCCAGAAAUCAGGGAACAAAGUAACUGAAUAGUGAAAUGUUAAAGGCAAGCUUUUAGAAGUUAUGAAUUUAUUUGGUAUGCAGUCAUUCCAGAAGGCUGUAUAUGUAGAGGUAAACUCCAAUGUCAGUGGCAGGUGAAGGCUGAUAGUUUCUGAAUGGCAUGAUUUCAGUAACUAUCUCUGUAGUUUCUGUAAUCCUGUUAAAAAAAGUAAUUCCUGUGCUUUAUGAUACUUUAAACACAGUAGGCCGUGAGUCUGUAGAAAUCACUGUGAAAGCCCUUGAAGUCUUCAGUCAGUUUAUCAACAAUAUUAUUUGAAUCACAGUCACUCUACAGCUUACCUUUUCCUGUUUCUAAAAAUAUAAAGAGAAAUUUAAGAUGUUGGUUUUAUUUUAGGACUUUUUUUAAAAUGAUAGAUGGAGAUUUGAUUUAUUAGAGGUUUAACUGAAAUGCAUCUGAAAAAGAGCCAACAGGGUUAAAGAUCAAAGUUAUUAAAAAUGGUGCUAAUUGAAAUAGCUUCAGAACUUCCUACAUUGAUUAAGCAGCAAAUUUUCCCCCUGAAAAGACAAAGUAUUGAGGCUUACCUGAAGUUUUAAGUAAAGGUAGCGGAGGAAGAUAACAGAACCAAUUCAAGUGCUAUGCCAUGCAUAUUUUCCAGAUGUCCUUUGCACUUGAAUGUAAAUCAUGACACCUUAGAACACAAUAAAACUUCACCUAUAGAAUCAAAACUGUUUUAAAGAAGUAAUAUUUUAUUGACUUGUCUGAAGUUUGCCAGGUUACAAAAUGGAAAAAAAAAACCUAAUGUAGCAAAAAGUUAUGCAUUAGCAGUAGGAAAAACCUUCCUCCUAAAAGCCUACUAUAGUUCUAGUGGAGGAGGGAGUUUGUGUAACGA
Molecule: long non-coding RNA, 1030 nt
Organism: Pezoporus occidentalis (night parrot)
Lineage: Eukaryota; Metazoa; Chordata; Aves; Psittaciformes; Psittacidae
Exons: 2
Source: RefSeq, a predicted model, not a curated record